CUAACAUCAGACGUACAUACGUUUGAUUGUGGAAAUCGCAUAUGUGGAAUAAGUAUGUAUAGAAAAAUGGCGUCAGUUAAUAGAAAUUGUGAAUUUGUGUAUGUGUUUGAUUCAAGCAUGUAUAGGUUUGAAUUUUUGAAUCAACACAAAUGUAUAAACUAUGUUUCAAAAUUAUUUAAAAAAAAAAUCAUUUUUAGGCCGCAUUUAAAACGAAAAAAAAUGGCCGAUACCAUUCUAAUCUAAUAGUCGCAGUAAGCUCAUUAUUUGUAUAUCUUACCUAUGCCCUAUCUGCUAUUUUAAUAUCGAUUAAUUCUUGUCUUAGUAUAUCUAUAUUACUGCUAGUAUGAGAAUUUUUCAAUCUUACUAUAGUAUAUACAUAUUGCAGCUGGCCCAGCGAGAUUUGAAUUAUAUAUUGUAUUUUGUUGUUGUUAACCUGUGUGAGAGAAUGUUUUUUUUUAUUAACCAGAGGGAAUCAGACAAUAUAUUGAACUAACUGGUCAACUGAGCUGACAGUACAGUGCCGCCAGAAAAUUUGGAAACACUUGAAAAAUUAUUUUUUUUUUCAAUAUCUGUUCAAAAUUUAGUUCAAACAGUACAUGUUAUUAAUGGUAUGAAACAUUGAGGUCGGUUAAUAAUUGGCCAUUUUAAAAUGGCGGCCAAAAUUUUCAAACAGCCAUAACUUGCCCAAUUAUCAACUGAUCUUGUUUUUUCAUACCAUUUAUAACAUGUAAUUUUUAAGAGUUUCAAAACUGUAUCAUUACAUUUUGAAACCAACAGCCCAGUAAAAAGUAGAAUUCUUUUUUAGGCCGCAUUUAAAACGAAAAAUUGAAAAAAAAGGCCGAUGCCGUUCUUAUCUCGUGGUCUCAGUCUUAUUAUGUGUAUAUCUUACCUAAAUGCCUACUGCUAACUUAAUUAAUAUGGUAGAAUUCUCUUGUUGGUAUAUCUAAAUUAAUCCUAACAUCAGAAUUUUUCUGUAUUAGUCUAGUAUACAUAUUGCAGCUGGGCCUGGCGGGUUGAAUAUAUUACAUGGUGUUUUGUUGCUAACCUGUGAGAAAUAAUUUUUUUUAUUAACCAGAGGGAAUCGAACUCAGAACCACGAGAUAAGACGGUGAGCGUUGUACCACAGGGCUACAUCGGCCGGUGAAUGUUUAUGAGCUAUUUGUAUUUAUGAAUUAUUGACCUUGAAAUUCAACAAAUUCAUAGAAAUACAUGAUUUCUAUCGCUUUUUCCCUGCUGAAAUACAUUUUUUAUUGAAGAAAAUACCUUUUUUCAUUUGGCAUUCGACUAUUUGUUUACAUUGAAUAGAAAAAAAGUAAAAAAAAUCGAAAGAAUAGUCAACAAUAGUCUUUUGCAUAACAAAAAUUGUCAGUGUAGACAGACAAUGCAUUAAGCUAGGGGAAUUUAUCUGUUCGCGAAUAUAUAUUAUUCGAUGGUACAUAUACUAUGCAUAUUUUACGAAUAAUGCAUUGAAUGUACGUAUUUUGCGAAUAUUCGCAGUGAAUAUACGCAAAAUAUACGCAAUAUUCACAGUGUUUUGAUUGAGAUAAAAACCCCUAGGCAUUAAGUGUGUAUGAGCGUGAGAAAAAAUAUGUCACAAUAUGGUGUACUCGUUCUGUAUCAUCAACAGCAUUGAUGUACAUUGUAAAUUAUCACGCGCUGCAUACACAAUGUUGGCUGUAUAGCAUAUAGGAAUGUCACACGCACACAAAUGUCUACCAACAGUUGUCUAUCAUAGUGUGCGCACCAGCUGUCUAUCAACUACCAUGUGAUCAACGCUAUACCGUAGAGUGAGUGAGAAGAGUAUAAUGUUGUUAUGUUGUCACAUUCAUGCUUACAUUGUUUAUAGAACGAUUCGUCUCGAAAUAUUAAAAGAAAAUUAAAUAAAUUACGAUUCCAACUGCAA
This is a long non-coding RNA of Contarinia nasturtii (swede midge), 1903 nucleotides long. RefSeq lists it as uncharacterized. The transcript is spliced from 2 exons. The record is from RefSeq and is a predicted model, not a curated record. Lineage: Eukaryota; Metazoa; Arthropoda; Insecta; Diptera; Cecidomyiidae.